AAGGAGACGGGCUUCAGCGGGAUCUGCUGACUUCAGUACAUGUAUAUUUCGGCUGAAGGAAGAAUUCAUUUAUUCAUCAAUUAACUGAGAACGAACGAGCACCCUAAAAAUUCAGGUCACAUUUACUACGCCCGGUCCAAGAGGAUAUCCAGCAUGGCCUUGGCACUAAUUAUGUAGGUAGUGCUUCUCUGGCUUGGACCAACUGGUGGAGGAAAUUUGCACAUCCACACUCUACAAUCUUGAAUAGCCUCAAGUCUGGCAAUAUGUGUGGCAAAAUCACGUACGAUGAGAGGAAAAGCAUGUGUGCGAAAAGGGGAAAAAAGUUUUAUCCCACACGUACUCUUUCAGAGGAUGAUCUCUUUAUCAGAAAGGAAGUAUUAGUAAGCCAUCAAAAGGCCUAUAUUGAAAAAAUCGAGGCAGAGGAGAAGGCUUUUGCAGAUUAUUGGAAUCCAAUUUUAUAUGUUUUUCUUUCGGAUGAUGAACCUUCUAUGGAACCC
Triticum dicoccoides is the source of this 497-nucleotide long non-coding RNA. RefSeq lists it as uncharacterized. NCBI's taxonomy places the organism in Eukaryota, Viridiplantae, Streptophyta, Magnoliopsida, Poales, Poaceae. The record is from RefSeq and is a predicted model, not a curated record. The transcript is spliced from 3 exons.